RNAcentral lists this ribosomal RNA (888 nucleotides) under Lactifluus cf. volemus hybrid I KH-2011. RNAcentral describes it as "LSU rRNA". It matches the Rfam family "Eukaryotic large subunit ribosomal RNA", at positions 72 to 936 of the family's 3401-position model. Lineage: Eukaryota; Fungi; Basidiomycota; Agaricomycetes; Russulales; Russulaceae. The record is from RNAcentral.
GGAUUCCCCUAGUAACUGCGAGUGAAGCGGGAAAAGCUCAAAUUUAAAAUCUAAUGGUCCUUGCCCAUUCGAGUUGUAAUUUAGAGAAGCGUCUUCCGCGCCAGACCAUGUACAAGUCUCCUGGAACGGAGCGUCAUAGAGGGUGAGAAUCCCGUCUUUGACAUGGACCCUUGGUGCUUCUGUGAUGCGCUCUCAAAGAGUCGAGUUGUUUGGGAAUGCAGCUCAAAAUGGGUGGUGAACUCCAUCUAAGGCUAAAUAUUGGCGAGAGACCGAUAGCGAACAAGUACCGUGAGGGAAAGAUGAAAAGCACUUUGGAAAGAGAGUGAAACAGUACGUGAAAUUGUUGAAAGGGAAACACUUGAAGUCAGUCGCGUCGAUCGAGACUCAGCCUUGCCUNGGCUUGGCGUACUUCUCGACUUGACGGGCCAGCAUCAAUUUCRUCCCUCGGAUAAUGGCAGGGGAAAGGUGGCACCUUCACCGGUGUGUUAUAGUCUCUUGUCGCAUGCGAGGGGUGGGAUUGAGGAACUCAGCACGCACCUCACGGUGUCGGGGCUUCGGCCCACGUUACGUGCUCAGGAUGCCGGCGUAAUGGCUUUAAAUGACCCGUCUUGAAACACGGACCAAGGAGUCUAACAUGCCUGCGAGUGUUCGGGUGGAAAACCCGUGUGCGUAAUGAAAGUAAAAGUUGGGACCUCUGUCGUGGAGGGCACCGACGCCCGGACCAGACCUUCUGUGACGGAUCUGCGGUAGAGCAUGCAUGUUGGGACCCGAAAGAUGGUGAACUAUGCCUGAAUAGGGUGAAGCCAGAGGAAACUCUGGUGGAGGCUCGUAGCGAUUCUGACGUGCAAAUCGAUCGUCAAAUUUGGGUAUAGGGGCGAAAGACUAAUC